RNAcentral lists this ribosomal RNA (464 nucleotides) under Vreelandella stevensii. RNAcentral's name for it is "partial 16S ribosomal RNA". It matches the Rfam family "Bacterial small subunit ribosomal RNA", at positions 338 to 795 of the family's 1533-position model. Lineage: Bacteria; Pseudomonadati; Pseudomonadota; Gammaproteobacteria; Oceanospirillales; Halomonadaceae. The record is from RNAcentral.
CCUACGGGUGGCUGCAGUGGGGAAUAUUGGACAAUGGGCGAAAGCCUGAUCCAGCCAUGCCGCGUGUGUGAAGAAGGCCUUCGGGUUGUAAAGCACUUUCAGUGGGGAAGAAAGCCUUGGGGCUAAUACCCUCGAGGAAGGACAUCACCCACAGAAGAAGCACCGGCUAACUCCGUGCCAGCAGCCGCGGUAAUACGGAGGGUGCGAGCGUUAAUCGGAAUUACUGGGCGUAAAGCGCGCGUAGGCGGUCUGAUAAGCCGGUUGUGAAAGCCCCGGGCUCAACCUGGGAACGGCAUCCGGAACUGUCAGGCUAGAGUGCAGGAGAGGAAGGUAGAAUUCCCGGUGUAGCGGUGAAAUGCGUAGAGAUCGGGAGGAAUACCAGUGGCGAAGGCGGCCUUCUGGACUGACACUGACGCUGAGGUGCGAAAGCGUGGGUAGCAAACAGGAUUAGAUACCCCUGUGUC